GGGAGAUUGGUCUAAAGGUAGGGCACACGCUCCGGGAGUGUGAUGAUCUAGGUUCGAAUCCUGGGUCUCCCA
Molecule: non-coding RNA, 72 nt
Organism: Tritrichomonas musculus
Lineage: Eukaryota; Parabasalia; Tritrichomonadida; Tritrichomonadidae
Source: the annotation of a GenBank genome assembly